Molecule: long non-coding RNA, 2935 nt
Organism: Clupea harengus (Atlantic herring)
Lineage: Eukaryota; Metazoa; Chordata; Actinopteri; Clupeiformes; Clupeidae
Source: Ensembl
CGCUCACUGAGAGAGCACUCACACACACACACACACACACACACACACACACACACACACACACUCUGAAAACAUAUGCAGAAAGUCCCUGCCCCACCCACAGCCUCUCUCACACACACACACUCAUUCAGUCAGUGAGGGAGAAGCUCCACUCCACUCCUCACACACACCCUCAGUCACACACACACACACACACUGCUCCUGCUGCCGCUGCCAUGAAGCCCACUGGAAUAGUUCUGCUGGUCGUGUCCAUCACACUCCUCCAUAAAGGUGACUCUCUACAAGCAAAUCUAACCAACCCAGCCGGUGAGUCUGAUACAGCAAAUCCAACGCCACAAGCCGCAGGCGAGGUCACUUCUCCUCAUCCACAGACCGAAAAGCCCGUGACUGCCAGUCUAACGACAAAAAGUCCUGAUCCGAACAAUGACUCCAAACAGACUUCCCAGAGCCCUACCACCAAGUCCCCUGCAGACCCCAAUAAAGAUGCAGAAGGUGAUGCCAAAGACCAAGAGACAGGAACUGAAGUGAAGCCAGCUGUCAAUGAGACAAAUGAAUUGCCACCUAAUACAGGAUCUGGAACAAACAAUCAGGAGAGUGGCCAAAAUGCAGAAGGUGAUGCCAAAGACCAAGAGACAGGAACUGAAGUGAAGCCAGCAGUCAAUGAGACAAAUGAAUUGCCAUCUGAUACAGGAUCUGGAACAAACAAUCAGCAGAGUGGCCAAAAUGCAGAAGGUGAUGCCAAAGACCAAGAGACAGACCGGAGAAUCCUGUGGAUUUUGUUGCCUGUUUUGGGUGUGUUGGUGGCAGGUGUGAUCUUUGUCCUCAAGUUCAAAUGCAUGAAAGUGCAUGAUCAUGCAGAACCUACUGAGAAUGGCACAGAGAACGCCUCCUUCCAAAGGUCUGACAGCAACAAAGAUGGCGUCAUGCUCCUGGGUGUGAAGACUUCUGGCGGAGAGGAAAACGCAGCGGCGAGAUAAGAUGGACGGCAGCCGAAAAGGACAGUCACUCAAGAAAGCAAGAGACACUUCUACACCCUCACCGCCACUGGAGAUCCUCCUGAUCGCCAUCAAUGGAUUCCACUUCACAGAUAUCACCAAAGAGCACUGAAGUGGGUUAGACUACAAACAUCCAAUGUGACGUAUGGUAUUUUCCUGUACAUUAAGCCAGAGAACUAAAAUAUAUAUAUAUACAUAUAUAAUACUGAAGUAAUGAAACAUGCAAGCGUGCAUAUAGACUGACAUAAUUAUAUGUCUGAUGGCUGAAAUUUCAUGUCAAUUUGAGACCAAUUGCCAUUGUUUAACACUAAAAACCAAUUGUCUUGUGGCAAUGUUUAACACUGAAACCAGUUGUGAACACUGAAGACCGUCUGGCAAAUGAGUGAAUGAUAUGAUAUUUCAGCCCCUGACGCCGUUGACAAAAUGGAUCACUGCCAUUGCUUCUCUCUCUCUCUCGAUAUAAUGGAUGAUAUUUGGGCUGAAGCAUCAGUCUCCUCUGCUUGUUCGUGUUUGCACUGAUAGCCUAGAUAAUGUCAGUUAAUUACUGUGUGAGAUGCCUUGGAUUCAGUGGAUAAGCUCAAGUGAAUUCACUGAUGUAAAUUGGAUAGUGUAUUAACACCUAAGAAAAUAAAGCGAGCUUGUGCGUUCAAGGUUCUGAAUAUUACGACUCACUGUUUUGGUAAUAGCUUCGAAGGCUUGAGUGAAUUUUUUCCAUAUUUUUGUAUCACAAAACAUAUUACUUUAACAACUAUGCAAACGCUUCUUUUAGAUUUAUAUUGAUAUUGGUCUUACACUGAAUAAAUCAUCAGGCCACAGUUAUUUGAUCAUCUCUCCAUGUUUUGCAUAAGCUGUCAAUCUAAGUCUCUUCUUUUUCCAUUUUUUUUUUUACCCUUUCUGUUUCGAUUGUAUUAAACUUGUAUGGGUUUCUAAUCUGUCAUGGACACGGAGUUCCCUGUUUUCUCUGCUGUAUAUUUGACUGCUCUCAGUAUCUGUGCUACUGGUCUUACUAAGUUAUAAAUGAAUAGAAAAAUGAAGGAUAUUCAAGCUUGCAGCAUGCAUUCAUAUGUGAAUCCAGCGGAAAAAGAUUGCUGAUCGUGUUUUGUGUGUUUGUUUGUUUGUUUGUUUGCUUGUUUUUCUGUUGUUUCUGUGCUGUUUUUCCACGUGGAUCUGUGUCGUUAGAGAGGGCCCACGCUUCACAACCUUGGCUUCCCAUAUUCUGUAUGCGAAACAUGAAUCUGAGAUGAAGCAAUCAGUUCUGCCACAACAUUUGAACACACCUGCUGCCUCUGUUAAAUGUUAUCCACAUGAGCAGUUUGUUUGUCUGUGUCUUUCUUGUGUUUCUCUCUCCAUUAAAAUACCUUCCUCCCCGAGGACCAAAAAAGCAAAUCUCUUUGGCAUUUAAUAAAAGCCCCGCAUUAAUCCUGUGACAUCCUCAACACCUCAGCGUCUGACGCUAAUAGCCCUCAGCUCACACGGCCUGGCCAGCUCCCGCACACAGAAACAGACUGCUGCUAUGAAUAUAGCUAUCACAGCCUCGCCAUCAAGCGUACAAUAAUAACAGCAUUGUUGCUAGGCGCUCAUCUGCACGGCUGCCCCUAGUCACUGUGGGUGACACAGAUUGUCAUCAUGGCUAGCAUGUAGCAUAUAGCAUGUAGCAGGAACAUAAUGAUGCACUCUGCUUGGCGGACAUCAUUAUUAUUACGCAUUAGAGGAGAUUUAUUUGAGGUUAAUGUUGGUUUUACCCAAUAAACGUUGCACUCGGUCAAAGUACGUGUGAGUGAGUCUCUUCCUCUCUUGUUCAACUGAUAUUAUUCAGCCUACGUCAGUAUGAGGGUACUUUAUUGGGGUGUAAGAUCAUCGGCAAUUCCACGGAUGAAUUCCAAGUGAAUUCUGGCUUAGGGUUAAUCCAAAUCAUGCUCUUCAGUGAAAAGGUUUCCUGC